AGCCGUGUGGUAAGCACAAAGCGAAUUAUUCUUUCGCCUUUUACUAAAAAUUACCGUGUGCAUGCCAUUUAUAAAUGGCAUACACCUAUUUUUGAAGGGUCUUUUUCUUUGGACUG
This is a small nuclear RNA of Telopea speciosissima, 116 nucleotides long. RefSeq annotates it as U5 spliceosomal RNA. The record is from RefSeq and is a predicted model, not a curated record. The transcript has a single exon. NCBI's taxonomy places the organism in Eukaryota, Viridiplantae, Streptophyta, Magnoliopsida, Proteales, Proteaceae.